Coregonus clupeaformis (lake whitefish) is the source of this 867-nucleotide long non-coding RNA. RefSeq lists it as uncharacterized. NCBI's taxonomy places the organism in Eukaryota, Metazoa, Chordata, Actinopteri, Salmoniformes, Salmonidae. The transcript has 3 exons. The record is from RefSeq and is a predicted model, not a curated record.
AACCACUCAUACUGAUUCUCUUUUAGUCUAUCCAUAAAAGCAGAUUCAGUUUCAGUUGUAUCCAGGAACUUGCAUAAUCUGCUUAUGUUAUGCUUAUACUUGCUUUUUUACCUUGAAAGUAGUCUUAAAAAAGGAAAUUGUAACAGAUGUUUGUUGGACCUCUAUUAGUCAAUGAUAUCAGUCAUUGGUGUCCCCCAGCCCAUCCCCGAUGUUGUGUGCAGAGCAAUCAUGUCAUUCUAUUAAGUCUCAACUAUUCUUUUUGUAACUUGUCUUCCUUUACAAAGGCACUGCAGAGGCUAAGAAGACGCAUGGAAACUCUAAAGAAUCAUCAUUCAACUUGUGAGGCCAGAUUUGAAAAGGAAAUUAUAAAUCCAGAAGCUCAGAUGUCAGACACUGAGGUUGCCAGUACCUCUGAGGCUGCCAGUACCGCUGGGUCGAUAGUCCAUGUGUUGGAUGAUGCACCGCCAUUGAUCAGAACAGACAGCAUAUUCUUGACCAAAGCUAUGCUUGGAUACAAGACUGAUGACUCAAUAACCAGCAUUGACAACAGUGAAGAUGAUUAUGUCCCAAGGUCAUCAGAGGAAGACGAUUCCGAUGAAUUUUCAGAACCAAAGACAAGGGUGGACAGCAGUAAACACGAUGAUCUAGUCUCGGAGGGAUACAGUUCAGAUAAAUUAGCGGGUGUCAAGAGAAAGAAGCAAUACAAGAAGACUAUCAAGAGAUGCAGAAGUUCCUCAGAAGAAAACAGCUCAAAUGGAGAAUCAGAACUCAAGAGAAUGAAGCGAUACGAAAAUACUUAUAAGAGAUGUACUAGUUCCCCAAAGUCGAACACUAGCAGUGAAUCAUUGCUUGUAAUGAAUGUCUCAG